Long non-coding RNA from Elaeis guineensis (African oil palm), 548 nucleotides. RefSeq lists it as uncharacterized. NCBI's taxonomy places the organism in Eukaryota, Viridiplantae, Streptophyta, Magnoliopsida, Arecales, Arecaceae. The record is from RefSeq and is a predicted model, not a curated record.
UUUUUGGGAAUGGACCAAUACCAUCCCCUUGCAGUGUUUCUUCCGGUCAAGCACCGGCAACCACUGCUGCCAGCUAAAAAAGUAGGUGGGUUCGAGAUCCAGAAUCUACACUCCCAUCUUAUCCUUACCAAGUCGGAUCCGUGUGUUUCCCACCUGAACAGAUUCGACCCAACAAUUACUUUCGAUAUCUCAUUCUCGAGUCUGAACCGUUCUCAACUUCCCGUGGAAAUCUCUUCUUCGGACCACGCUGGUCAAAACAACAGGACAUCCCGGGGGAAGUCCCUACCCUUUUUUUGCGAUUUUCUCCGAAGGGUGGUGCUUAAAGUAAGGGCCAUACAAUAUGGUAAUGAGAAGAGUGGAACAGAAGCACUUUUCCAUUAUUUUUAUUUUUAAUUGGAAUCUCAAAUUUUGAACGGCAAAAUCUUCCUUCAUCCUACUGUUCAGAAAAUCAAAAGAAGACCCAUAGGACAUGUAAUCAGAAACAUUUUUAUAUGGAUUCAGUUGUAAUGGAUAUUAUUAGACUAUCAAUCUGAAAUGAUUCAAGUUAA